Long non-coding RNA from Haplochromis burtoni (Burton's mouthbrooder), 216 nucleotides. RefSeq lists it as uncharacterized. NCBI's taxonomy places the organism in Eukaryota, Metazoa, Chordata, Actinopteri, Cichliformes, Cichlidae. The record is from RefSeq and is a predicted model, not a curated record. The transcript has 2 exons.
CCGGACCUUUCCGUGUCAUUCUUGGUGAACAUGACCUCAACAGCUCAGUGACAGAGAGCAGAUCAUAGCUGUCAGUGCCAUUUAUGUCCACCCCCAAUGGGAUGCUAACAAACUGUCUCAGGGGAAUGAUAUCGCUCUGCUGAAACUGGCCUCAGACGCCACCCUGAACAAUUAUGUCCAGCUGGGCUCUCUGCCUCCCUCUGGCCAGAUUCUGCC